CAGAUCAGAAGCGAGAAUGUUGACAUGAGUAGCGACAAAGAGGGUGAGAGACCCUCUCGCCGAAAGUCCAAGGGUUCCUGCUUAAAGCUAAUCUGAGCAGGGUAAGCCGGCCCCUAAGGCGAGGCCGAAAGGCGUAGUCGAUGGGAACAGGGUUAAUAUUCCCUGGCCAGUGGGAAGUGACGGAUCUCGACGGUUGUCUGCCCUUAUCGGAUUGGGUGGGCCGCUUAGAGGUUCCUGGAAAUAGCCCCACAUCAGACCGUACCCUAAACCGACACAGGUGGACUGGUAGAGUAUACCAAGGCGCUUGAGAGAACCACGUUAAAGGAACUCGGCAAAAUGCCUCCGUAAGUUCGCGAGAAGGAGGCCCCAUAUGUACGCAAGUAUGUGUGGGGGGCACAAACUAGGGGGUGGCGACUGUUUACUUAAAACACAGGGCUGUGCGAAGCCGUAAGGCGACGUAUACAGUCUGACGCCUGCCCGGUGCUGGAAGAUUAAGAGGAGGGGUGCAAGCUCUGAAUUGAAGUCCCAGUAAACGGCGGCCGUAACAAUAACGGUCCUAAGGUAGCGAAAUUCCUUGUCGGGUAAGUUCCGACCUGCACGAAUGGCGUAACGAUCUCCCCGCUGUCUCUAACGUGGACUCAGCGAAAUUGAACUGUGUGUCAAGAUUCACACUACCCGCGGUUAGACGGAAAGACCCCAUGAACCUUUACUCUAGCUUUGCAUUGGCAUCAGGAAUGUGAUGUGCAGGAUAGGUGGUAGGCAUUGAAACGGGGACGCCAGUCUUCGUGGAGCCAUCCUUGAGAUACCACCCUUCGCCUUCUUGAUGUCUAACCGCGGCCCGUUAUCCGGGUCCGGGACCGUGCAUGGUGGGGAGUUUGACUGGGGCGGUCGCCUCCCAAAUUGUAACGGAGGCGCGCGAUGGUUGGCUCAGACCGGUCGGAAAUCGGUCGUUGAGUGCAAUGGCAGAAGCCAGCCUGACUGCAAGACUGACAAGUCGAGCAGAGACGAAAGUCGGUCAUAGUGAUCCGGUGGUCCCAAGUGGGAGGGCCAUCGCUCAACGGAUAAAAGGUACUCUGGGGAUAACAGGCUGAUGAUGCCCAAGAGUCCAUAUCGACGGCAUCGUUUGGCACCUCGAUGUCGGCUCAUCUCAUCCUGGGGCUGGAGCAGGUCCCAAGGGUAUGGCUGUUCGCCAUUUAAAGAGGUACGUGAGCUGGGUUUAGAACGUCGUGAGACAGUUCGGUCCCUAUCUGCCGUGGGUGCAGGAGACUUGAGAAGAGUUGACCCUAGUACGAGAGGACCGGGUUGAACGAACCACUGGUGGACCAGUUAUCGUGCCAACGGUAGUGCUGGGUAGCUAUGUUCGGACAGGAUAACCGCUGAAGGCAUCUAAGCGGGAAGCCCCCUUCAAAACAAGGUCUCCCUUGAGAGCCGUGGAAGACGACCACGUCGAUAGGCCAGAGGUGUAAGUGCAGCAAUGCAUUCAGCUGACUGGUACUAAUUGCUC
Molecule: ribosomal RNA, 1504 nt
Filed under: metagenome
Description: bacterial LSU rRNA
Rfam family: Bacterial large subunit ribosomal RNA
Source: RNAcentral